RNAcentral lists this ribosomal RNA (1160 nucleotides) under Salmonella enterica. RNAcentral's name for it is "partial 23S ribosomal RNA". It matches the Rfam family "Bacterial large subunit ribosomal RNA", at positions 711 to 1777 of the family's 2925-position model. The record is from RNAcentral. Lineage: Bacteria; Pseudomonadati; Pseudomonadota; Gammaproteobacteria; Enterobacterales; Enterobacteriaceae.
AGACCCGAAACCCGGUGAUCUAGCCAUGGGCAGGUUGAAGGUUGGGUAACACUAACUGGAGGACCGAACCGACUAAUGUUGAAAAAUUAGCGGAUGACCUGUGGCUGGGGGUGAAAGGCCAAUCAAACCGGGAGAUAGCUGGUUCUCCCCGAAAGCUAUUUAGGUAGCGCCUCGUGAAUUCAUCUCCGGGGGUAGAGCACUGUUUCGGCUAGGGGGCCAUCCCGGCUUACCAACCCGAUGCAAACUGCGAAUACCGGAGAAUGUUAUCACGGGAGACACACGGCGGGUGCUAACGUCCGUCGUGAAGAGGGAAACAACCCAGACCGCCAGCUAAGGUCCCAAAGUCAUGGUUAAGUGGGAAACGAUGUGGGAAGGCCCAGACAGCCAGGAUGUUGGCUUAGAAGCAGCCAUCAUUUAAAGAAAGCGUAAUAGCUCACUGGUCGAGUCGGCCUGCGCGGAAGAUGUAACGGGGCUAAACCAUGCACCGAAGCUGCGGCAGCGAACGUAUCACCCAAGACAACUUUACGGAGUUGACGAUUGACGGAGCGAAGCGACGUCAAAGCGUUCAUUAAAGUCGAGUUGGCUUAGGGAUACGUUCGUUGGGUAGGGGAGCGUUCUGUAAGCCUGUGAAGGUGUGUCGUGAGGCAUGCUGGAGGUAUCAGAAGUGCGAAUGCUGACAUAAGUAACGAUAAAGCGGGUGAAAAGCCCGCUCGCCGGAAGACCAAGGGUUCCUGUCCAACGUUAAUCGGGGCAGGGUGAGUCGACCCCUAAGGCGAGGCCGAAAGGCGUAGUCGAUGGGAAACGGGUUAAUAUUCCCGUACUUGGUGUUACUGCGAAGGGGGGACGGAGAAGGCUAUGUUGGCCGGGCGACGGUUGUCCCGGUUUAAGCGUGUAGGUGUGUGUUCCAGGUAAAUCCGGUUCACUUUAACACUGAGGCGUGACGACGAGGCACUACGGUGCUGAAGCAACAAAUGCCCUGCUUCCAGGAAAAGCCUCUAAGCAUCAGGUAACAUCAAAUCGUACCCCAAACCGACACAGGUGGUCAGGUAGAGAAUACCAAGGCGCUUGAGAGAACUCGGGUGAAGGAACUAGGCAAAAUGGUGCCGUAACUUCGGGAGAAGGCACGCUGACACGUAGGUGAAGUGAUUUACUCAUGGAGC